This 490-nucleotide ribosomal RNA is filed under the name uncultured bacterium. Its description in RNAcentral is "bacterial SSU rRNA". It matches the Rfam family "Bacterial small subunit ribosomal RNA", at positions 28 to 516 of the family's 1533-position model. The record is from RNAcentral.
GAUGAACGCUAGCGGCAGGCUUAACACAUGCAAGUCGAGGGGUAUAGUUCUUCGGAAUUAGAGACCGGCGCACGGGUGCGUAACGCGUAUGCAAUCUACCUUUCACAGAGGGAUAGCCCCAGAGAAAUUUGGAUUAAUACCUCAUAGUAUAGCAGUUUCGCAUGAAACCACUAUUAAAGUCACAACGGUGAAAGAUGAGCAUGCGUCCCAUUAGCUAGUUGGUAAGGUAACGGCUUACCAAGGCAACGAUGGGUAGGGGUCCUGAGAGGGAGAUCCCCCACACUGGUACUGAGACACGGACCAGACUCCUACGGGAGGCAGCAGUGAGGAAUAUUGGGACAAUGGGCGCAAGCCUGAUCCAGCCAUGCCGCGUGCAGGAUGACGGUCCUAUGGAUUGUAAACUGCUUUUAUACAGGAAGAAACNCUAACUUCGUGAAGUAGCUUGACGGUACUGUAAGAAUAAGGAUCGGCUAACUCCGUGCCAGCAGCC